Non-coding RNA from Dimargaris cristalligena, 72 nucleotides. The record is from the annotation of a GenBank genome assembly. NCBI's taxonomy places the organism in Eukaryota, Fungi, Kickxellomycota, Dimargaritomycetes, Dimargaritales, Dimargaritaceae.
GCCCGCUUGGCUCAGUGGUAAGGCGUCUGUCUCGUAAACAGAAGAUCGGCGGUUCGAUUCCGCCAGUGGGCA